This 521-nucleotide long non-coding RNA is filed under the name Androctonus crassicauda. The record is from RNAcentral. Lineage: Eukaryota; Metazoa; Arthropoda; Arachnida; Scorpiones; Buthidae.
CAUGAAUUUUUUUCUGUGCACACAACCAUAAAUGCUUUCUUUAUUACAAACAGGUUUUAAAGUAACUAUAAUUUGCAAUAUGCUACAAAAGACCAAAUAUAUGAAAAAAUGGAUUGGCUUCUCCAUUAUGACAAUACACUGUGCUGCAGUGCUCUGCGAAUAUAGAGAAUUUUCAGUGAAUGACAACAUUCCUUUGGUAUUUCAUAUUCUUCUAAUUUGGCCUGGCUGGCUCUUUCCAAAACUAAAAACAGCUAUGAAAGGAAAAAGAUUUCAACAGCUUGGAUGACAUCAUUUAACGAGAAAGCUCAAUUACAGGUCAACAAAAGCUGAAUUCUCUUGAUGUUUUGAACAAUGGCAGGCUUGCUGCAGUAUGUACAUGCCCAAAGAUGAUUAGAAUUCUUUUAGAGUAAAAGUAUGUAAAAUAAAGAUAUCUUAUUAUUAUACAAACUUUUUGAUUACUUUUUGAAUUUUAGCCAAUGGCAUCUGAUUUAAUUCUGGAUUUGGAAAAGUUUUAUUUGGAU